UACGUAGGUGACCAGCGUUGUCCGGAUUUACUGGGCGUAAAGAGCGCGCAGGCGGUCGUUCAAGUCGAGUGUGAAAGCCCCCGGCUCAACUGGGGAGGGUCACUCGAUACUGAUCGACUUGAAGGCAGGAGAGGGAAGCGGAAUUCCCGGUGUAGUGGUGAAAUGCGUAGAUAUCGGGAGGAACACCAGUGGCGAAGGCGGCUUCCUGGCCUGUUCUUCGACGCUGAGGCGCGAAAGCUAGGGGAGCAAACGGG
This 254-nucleotide ribosomal RNA is filed under the name uncultured bacterium. Its description in RNAcentral is "partial 16S ribosomal RNA". It matches the Rfam family "Bacterial small subunit ribosomal RNA", at positions 524 to 776 of the family's 1533-position model. The record is from RNAcentral.